UUACGACGGAUACCCCAGGUUUUAGAAAUGUAAGAAAACCGCUUUUUCCAUCUUCAUACUUGAAUUUCCAUUCAUAGACAUACUUUCACUUAGUUGUAAAGUCACCGAAUGAGGGCAAUUUUGUCAAAUAACAAUCUAGUAAUUGUCUAAAGUAGUCUUGACCGGGUUGACCAAGUGGUUUUAUGACGUGGCAGUUCGGCGCCUGACCAAAGGCUGUUUUGGGGCGGGCCCCGCUUAAGCCUCUUCCUUAAAUAAUUUAAUUAUUUACAAAAAAAAAUAUGUGAGUAAAUUACAGCUGGAGUCUAGGUGCGCCCUACUUCUUUAAUAAAGUAAUUUGUUGGGCUUCGCAAGUGAUCACGACAGGAACUUCUCUUGUGAGCGAAUGCAACAAUGCCAGAUGGUCGCGCCACGUUGUGUUGUCCUAUAUGGAAAGGCUCUGUGUAACAGUGUGUUGGCUGUUUGGACUAAGAAGCGGAUUUAUUCGAAGCGGAGUCAAGUGCUGUGCAGUAAGGAUACAAGAUAUUUCGAGGUAGUUAAUCACGUGGAAACGGCGUGACCAAGGGGUUUCCUCACUCUCCCAUGUGUAGCUCCUCCCUGCCCCCUCGCCUCCACUCGGUGAUUCUCUUGUCUUCCAGAAGGCGAUCGCCUGAUCCCUUCCCGAUCGCAACCGUCUGAGGUAAAGAUCGUGGAUGUUUGAAUUUGACGAAGAGGGGGUGUCUGACCUGAAGAGAGGGUGUCCCGUCAGCUGAGGCAGCGAAAAGGAGAUGCUGGACUUCACCUUCCCAGAUAUAUUUGCAUCUAUCCCACCUCCAAUUGCCCAGCCAUUAGAGGAGAGAGUUACUAGGCUAGAGGAGUCAUCAUCUCUUCUACAGGCUUCUCUCGUAACGAGCAUUCAAUUUUUAGUCUUCAUGAGGAGGUUAUUGUUGGAUUUCAGUGAAAUUUGUGCUUGACUCAACCACCACCACCACCACCACCAUCAUCACCAGCUGACGAGCUUUAGCUUACAAGCUAUUUUUGAAUUAUAUUUUUGGAUAUGCUUGUGCUCUUUUUAUUGUAUUUGUUGGAUCCAUUUGACUUGAUUACCAGCACUUUUGGAUUAUAUCUAUCUGAUAAUAUUUUUGCUUUUGGAUA
This is a long non-coding RNA of Zingiber officinale, 1131 nucleotides long. RefSeq lists it as uncharacterized. The transcript has 2 exons. The record is from RefSeq and is a predicted model, not a curated record. Lineage: Eukaryota; Viridiplantae; Streptophyta; Magnoliopsida; Zingiberales; Zingiberaceae.